AUUGAACGCUGGCGGCAGGCCUAACACAUGCAAGUCGAGCGGAUGAAGGGAGCUUGCUCCUGGAUUCAGCGGCGGACGGGUGAGUAAUGCCUAGGAAUCUGCCUGGUAGUGGGGGAUAACGUCCGGAAACGGGCGCUAAUACCGCAUACGUCCUGAGGGAGAAAGUGGGGGAUCUUCGGACCUCACGCUAUCAGAUGAGCCUAGGUCGGAUUAGCUAGUUGGUGGGGUAAAGGCCUACCAAGGCGACGAUCCGUAACUGGUCUGAGAGGAUGAUCAGUCACCCUGGAACUGAGCCACGGCCCAGACUCCUACGGGAGGCAGCAGUGGGGAAUAUUGGACAAUGGGCGGAAGCCUGAUCCAGCCCUGCCGCGUGUGUGAAGAAGGUCUUCGGAUUGUAAAGCACUUUAAGUUGGGAGGAAGGGCAGUAAGUUAAUACCUUGCUGUUUUGACGUUACCAACAGAAUAAGCACCGGCUAACUUCGUG
Molecule: ribosomal RNA, 484 nt
Filed under: uncultured bacterium
Lineage: Bacteria
Description: partial 16S ribosomal RNA
Rfam family: Bacterial small subunit ribosomal RNA
Source: RNAcentral